Molecule: long non-coding RNA, 1359 nt
Organism: Tupaia belangeri chinensis (Chinese tree shrew)
Lineage: Eukaryota; Metazoa; Chordata; Mammalia; Scandentia; Tupaiidae
Exons: 6
Source: RefSeq, a predicted model, not a curated record
UGUCUGAUGUGAGUGCCCGUGGUCUUGAACUACCAAAGAAAAUUCACAAGAGAUGGAGUAAUCGAGCAAGGAAGGCAUUCUUCGAUACGAUUAUAAUAUGAGUCAAGACUAUUGCUGUAGGAAAUAGAGAUUGCAUCAACUCUACUGAAACAGAAGUUCCAGAACUGAGAUCAAUCAGGAGGAGAGAGAGAAAACUGUCAAAACUGGCUGGAUGACAGCAUGACGGAGGCUUCCUAAGCAAGUUGGACAGAUACACCAAGCUGGCGACAGUGGCUGUUUGUCAGCAUUUUAGUGUUUGCAGAUGGACAAAAAGUAAUCAAAACUUUCAGGCUGUAGAUAAAUUUUUCUGCUACUUCUGAGCAAUUCUGAUGAAAAUUUGAGAAAAGAGAAAGUUGAACCACUGAAUCAGGCGGAGAUGCUGAAAGACAACACAGAAUUCCUUACUAGAAGCUGACUUCUCCAGCAAUGGCAAGUGUUAUUUACCCCUGAGGUCAAGGGCUGUGCGAAUCAAUAGCACCCAUUCUACAUAGUCAAAUUUAAAUGUUUCUGUGCCAUUGAUGUUCAUCUGUAUUGUGACAACCAAGAAUGGAAAAAUAUAUUGAGAUACUUCAUGGAAUGAGUUUACUCUUGUCUGAUCCUUAUAAACUGGAUUCUUUAAUAAUUUGGUGACCAUAAACAUAGAUGCUGAGUAAUUCCUAUUGAAAACUCUGAGGCAACUGUUGAACUACCGGCUUCCAGCUCUGUUUCUCCUGGAGCUGUGAGAAACACUUUUCAGACACAAGAUAAAAAACUGAAGAAAGAAAAAUCAACAUGCAUCACAUGCAGGAGAGAAACAGAGGAAUGAGCUUGAGUUCCUGAUAGCAUCACUGAGCCACGGAGGAGAGGCCAGCUACGAGCUGGCUUUAACUAGAUCUAGACUUGUAUAUACAAAGACGAAGCCUCUAUUUGAUUAUACAUCUGCCAUCCAGGCUCUCUGUUACCUGCAGCUAAAUGAACCUAACUGAGGGUCAAUAACAGAAUUAUUGUGAGAAUUAAAUAAUGUAUACAUAAUUACUUUAUAAAACAAUAAUUAACUCUGGAGAUGUACUAUUACUUAGAGACAGAACACAGAGCAGUGGGAAAGGCAUGAGACUUGAACUCUUGAGACAUUUAGGUUUGCAUUAAAGCCAUAAACCUUGUUAGAACUUGCUCAUAGGAAAGGGGCUAGACUGGUGCAGUGGUACAAAGUGGCAUUCUGCACUAGUGCCCAUGAUCUAGGUCUGACAGAGGCUGGGGAUGAACUGUGGUUUUAAACACCCUAUUAGGGAUGCACUUGUUCUCUCUCUCUCUCUCUCUCUCUCUCUCUCUCUCUCUCCUCUA